UACGGAGGGUGCAAACGUUGCUCGGAAUUAUUGGGCGUAAAGCGCACGUAGGCGGUCUGUUAAGUCGGAUGUGAAGGCCCUCAGCUUAACUGAGGAAGUGCAUUCGAAACUGGCAGUCUUGAGUAUGGAAGAGGGUCGCGGAAUUCCCGGUGUAGAGGUGAAAUUCGUAGAUAUCGGGAGGAACACCAGUGGCGAAGGCGGCGACCUGGGCCAAUACUGACGCUGAGGUGCGAAAGCUAGGGGAGCGAACAGG
RNAcentral lists this ribosomal RNA (253 nucleotides) under uncultured bacterium. RNAcentral describes it as "partial 16S ribosomal RNA". It matches the Rfam family "Bacterial small subunit ribosomal RNA", at positions 524 to 776 of the family's 1533-position model. The record is from RNAcentral.